Molecule: long non-coding RNA, 2766 nt
Organism: Syngnathus typhle (broad-nosed pipefish)
Lineage: Eukaryota; Metazoa; Chordata; Actinopteri; Syngnathiformes; Syngnathidae
Exons: 4
Source: RefSeq, a predicted model, not a curated record
ACUUGAUCCCAGCGUGACCACUUGAAGUGGGGAGGCGGGGCGGGGUGUGACCGGAGCGACACUUAAUGGUUAACUAACGCUGAUGUUGAAACUCCGAGAUGAAGUCUUGUGCUGGUGAGGAUAGAUCAUCUCCUACUGGAGGUGCAUUAGGGUGAGAUGGGAGCCCCAGAUUAGCGUCUAUUACCGUGCCAGAAAUGACGUACUACCACUUUCCCCGACCCGCUUUUUUGGGGUCUUGCUUAACAGUCAGUGGCGCUAACUAUUCAGUCCAGAGUUGCACCGCCGGAUGGCGCUCCAGUAACGCUACAAAAUGAGAAGCGUUUCCACGGGCGUUUCCUAUUUUACAAGGACCCAGAUGAAAGCAGCUCCAUGCAUCUCCAUGGCGACGCAGUUUUGAUGGAGGGUCCUCCUAUCAUUAGCCGAAUCAUCAGGAGGAGAAUGUGGACGGACGGAUGGACGAAGAUCCCAUUCUAGAUGGGGGACGAGACAAUAUUCUAUCUGACAGCACUUCAAUCCGAAUUUGACCUGAUCGUCGCACAAUGGAUGCCAAAGUGUCUCGAUAGCAACAGCCCACUCCCGAUGGGAAACGUUUGGCCGUGAACUCACCAGCUCGUCUAGAACCACCACAUCAGGCUCACGCUGCAAAUGGCCAUCAGCGGCAGCGAAAGCGAACAGCGUUGACCCCCUGAAAGGCAGCAACAAAGCAAUUUGGUUUGACCCCUGCUGGACCCGAAGGCAUGCAACGCACACAUACACACAGGUUCCAAAAUAAUAUCGGCUCAAACAUUUGCAGUCGGACUCCAUCCAUGGCAUUGGUCGAGCGCGCGCGCGGCAAGAAGGAAAGCGACUCACCGCGAGCAGUGACUAUGACUGUGAAAGUCUUCUCCUCAGCCUUUCCAUCUUUGGGUGUCAUGGUGACCUUGUACUUGCCCUUGUCUGUAAAACCAAGCUGGACGAUAGUCAGAUCUCCACGGGUCUGGUCAAACACGAACUUUGGGUUGUAAAGAACCCCCUUGGUGACUUUCCAAGUGUCUGCAGUUGGGUUCUUAAGGGACUUGGACAGCGCGCCUGCAUCGACCUUGGCCUGGGUUGGGGCCUUGGUCGGGGCCUUGGUCGGCCUUGGUCGGGGCCUUGAUCGGGGCCUCGGUCACGGCCUUGGUCGCGGCCCCGUCAGCGGACUGGCCGGAUUCGGUCUUGCCGUAGGUGAGAAUCUUGCCAUUGUCCAUUUUUUCCCAGACGACAUUUGUGUAGUCAUCCAGCUUAGUCUUGCAAUGGUAACAUUGCCACCUGCUUCGCCCUUGAUUUCUUUGUCUGCUGCUGCUGCUGUUGAAAACAAAGCACAAGUUACUUUUUACCAGCAGUUCCACAAUAAUCAUUGUCACAGCACACCUCGUGAGUUUCUCUUGUCUGCAUCAUGGAUCAUCUAUCUCAUUAACGGCAUUUCAUUCGAGAGGUCAAACCUCCGUCUUGUUUUCAAAUACGUAAGUUACCAGCAAGCGGAAGGGAGAUCAGGAGCGCCCACAUCAGCCGAGCCAUCUUGCUGGUCAUCCUUUUCUUCUGCUGAUUGAGGAAGAAGCGCGAGUAAGAAGCACACUUUGCCCGAGCAAGCGAGGUAAGGUGCACCAGAGUUAGUACUCGGCCGUCGAUGGGACUUUGCUUUCAGUCUCAGCUCAGGCGUACCCACAAUGCUUGGCCUACAAAGAAAAGGACAUCCGCCCUUUGGAAAUGACACGGCGCUUGCAAAUGUCAUGCGCGCAUCACUAAGACGCAAAGGGAUCAAAUGCAAAGCUUUGAGAGGAAAUCUGCAACUCCAUAGGACGUGUGCUCACCAAGGACGGCAUGUGGCUGCCAGGCCUCUCCCGCUACGGAACGGGAUGGGCGACUCAAUCGUCUGAGACGUCAUUGGUUGUCAAAGCACAAAUCUCCCAACGGGAAGGAGGGGAAGCAAAAUGGCCGCUCAAAGAGUCAAAGAGGGCCAGAGCGGCAAAGAGACAAAGGGGUUCUUUGGCGUUUGGGCUGGAGACAUGCGUGACCUUAAGGUUACGACCGUCGAUUGCAUCGCGGUGCCUUUAUAUUACCUUACGCAAGCAACACUUUGACUUUGAUCCAAAGUGGAACGCGGGGCGGAUCUGGCGAGCUCGAUGACAACAUGAGCGUGUGCAAGCCCGAAACAACGCUCUGAGAAAAUGAGCUAACAUGACACCAUGACGAUGAAAACAGUUUCCAUAGCCACUUUUCUUCUUUUCCACCAGUACGACUUCUCCGUUCUGUACUGAUAAGAAGGACUGAUACUUUGGCUACGGCAAAGUUCCCCCGCCCAAAAAUGCAAGAAAAUUGUGACUAAAGAAACCUGCAUUCACCAAUUGAGAUAUUUUGCUUAUCAUUGCGCAACAUUGAUGGCAAUUUUUCCCAUUCUCAUUCCAAUUUCUGGUUGGAAAAAGAACGACCACAAGAUGGCGCUCGAUACUGUCCCGUUGAGGUGGAGGCGGCCAACCGAGCCAACUUUAUUGACAUGAACAGGAAUUGUUCAUCAAAGUCUGUCUGCUUCUCCUGCCGAUUCGUUUUCAUUGAUACAACACGCACACGCAUGGACGCACACAGCAGACAACCUCGAGGGGAUAUUAUUAUCAUACAUAUGUGAUGAUAUUAUUAUAAACCAUCAAGAUUGGGUCAAGCAAUCAUUUACAAAUUAUGGAAAUAUAGUUUUGGGAUAUUUGUUUAUGAUCUUGGAGACAAAUUAAAAUAAACCCAUUUUGGAUGCAAUAA